Molecule: ribosomal RNA, 207 nt
Filed under: uncultured Clostridium sp.
Lineage: Bacteria; Bacillati; Bacillota; Clostridia; Eubacteriales; Clostridiaceae
Description: partial 16S ribosomal RNA
Rfam family: Bacterial small subunit ribosomal RNA
Source: RNAcentral
AGCGUAGGUGGAUAUUUAAGUGGGAUGUGAAAUACUCGGGCUUAACCUGAGUGCUGCAUUCCAAACUGGAUAUCUAGAGUGCAGGAGAGGAAAGUAGAAUUCCUAGUGUAGCGGUGAAAUGCGUAGAGAUUAGGAAGAAUACCAGUGGCGAAGGCGACUUUCUGGACUGUAACUGACACUGAGGCUCGAAAGCGUGGGGAGCAAACA